Molecule: long non-coding RNA, 575 nt
Filed under: Mytilus galloprovincialis (Mediterranean mussel)
Lineage: Eukaryota; Metazoa; Mollusca; Bivalvia; Mytilida; Mytilidae
Source: RNAcentral
GGGAUGUAUUAUGGUAUACCGUUGUCCAUAUGUCCGUCUGUUGGACAAUAAUUCAAAAGCAAUUUAACCAAUUUGCAAGAAACUUCUGUGACUUGUUUAUAUCUAAUUAUCAGUAUUGACAUGAGCUAUCUUUCAUUUUUUUUAAUCAAUUUUAGAUUUUUCUUUUCUGAGUUUUUAUGGAGUUUAAUUCAUGAAAAAAAGGGGGAUUUUCCUGUUUUCAGACAAUAACUCAAAAAUUUCAUUUAAUAAAAACCAUUUGCCAAUGUAAUAAGACGAAUAACUAAUCAAAGAAUUCAUAUAUUGAAAAAUUUUCAACUUGUGACUGACCAACACUGAUAAUUAACUCAUGAGCUACUUCCAUUCGUGAAUUAAUGUGUUGUUAGGUCACUUGUUGAAUAUUUUUCUAUAUUUGAAUUCUUUGAUUAGUUAUUCUAUAAUUAUUCAUUUAAAAAAGGGGGGGUUUUCCAGUUAUCGGAAAAUAAUUAAAAAAAGCUUUCAGCAAUUUUGAUGAAACUUCACUUUUUAAUGGAAUGUACUGAAUACAAAAUGGAAAGGAAUUUUAUUCUUAAUAAAGC